GCGGACGUGGCGGAAUUGGCAGACGCGCUAGAUUUAGGUUCUAGUGUCUUAGCGACGUGGGGGUUCGAGUCCCUUCGUCCGCA
Molecule: transfer RNA, 83 nt
Filed under: Fructilactobacillus cliffordii
Lineage: Bacteria; Bacillati; Bacillota; Bacilli; Lactobacillales; Lactobacillaceae
Description: Fructilactobacillus sp. KI11_D11 tRNA-Leu
Rfam family: tRNA
About the family: Transfer RNA (tRNA) molecules are approximately 80 nucleotides in length. Their secondary structure includes four short double-helical elements and three loops (D, anti-codon, and T loops).
Source: RNAcentral